GUAAGGAAUAUUGGUCAAUGGAGGCAACUCUGAACCAGCCAUGCCGCGUGAAGGAUGAAGGUCCUCUGGAUUGUAAACUUCUUUUAUGUGGGAAGAAACCGAUGGAUUAUUCUGUCGUUGACGGUACCAUAAGAAUCAGCACCGGCUAACUCCGUGCCAGCAGCCGCGGUAAUACGGAGGGUGCAAGCGUUAUCCGGAUUCACUGGGUUUAAAGGGUGCGUAGGUGGAUCUGUAAGUCAGUGGUGAAAUCUCUGGGCUUAACCCAGAAACUGCCAUUGAUACUAUAGAUCUUGAAUUUUCUGGAGGUUAGCGGAAUAUGUCAUGUAGCGGUGAAAUGCUCAGAUAUGACAUAGAACACCAAUUGCGAAGGCAGCUAACUACAGGAGUAUUGACACUGAGGCACGAAAGCGUGGGGAUCAAACAGGAUUAGAUACCCUGGUAGUCCACGCCCUAAACUAUGGAUACUCGACAUUUGUGAUACACAAUAAGUGUCUGAGCGAAAGCAUUAAGUAUCCCACCUGGGAAGUACGACCGCAAGGU
RNAcentral lists this ribosomal RNA (540 nucleotides) under uncultured bacterium. RNAcentral describes it as "bacterial SSU rRNA". It matches the Rfam family "Bacterial small subunit ribosomal RNA", at positions 354 to 894 of the family's 1533-position model. The record is from RNAcentral.